ACAAUUUUUAUCCUUCCCUCCCCCUCCCAUCAAUUGUUUCCUUGUGCGUUCACACUGCACCUCUCCUUCUCGUUCUAAUAUCGAUUAAAAUGCCCCUUCUUCUUGACUCACAUUUGCGUAUAAACCAGCGGACCCUAGUUCCAGUCGCGCGUAACGUCGAACGACCCGUCUGAAAAAAAAUUGGUGCGACACGAGGACUUCCCAAGAGGUCACCCAUCCGAGUACUACUCUCGCCCAAGCACACUUAACUGCAGAGUUCUGACGGGAUCCGGUGCAUUAGUGCUGGUAUGAUCGCACCCGUUUAAUUCUGCGCUGCAAAUACAUAAACUUCUUCUCCUUUCUUCCCCCUCCCGUCAUUUGUUUCCUUGUGCGUGCGCAUUGCACCUCCCGUGCUCGUUCUAAUAUCAAGUAAAAUGCUACGGUGCCGUGACUCACAUUUGCGAAUAAACCUGAGGACCAUAAUUCAAGUCGCGCGUAUCGUCGAAAGAAUCAUCUGCAAAAAAAUGGGUGCAACACGAGGACUUCCUAAGAAAAUGGGUGAAAUAUAAGGACUUCGCAGGUGGUCACCCAUCCUAGUGCUACUCUCGCCCAAGCACCCUUAACAUGCGAAUUUCUGAUAGAAUCUGUUGCAUUCGUGCUGGUAUGAUUGCUCAUGUUUCAUUAUGCGCUGCAAAUACAUACACUUUUUCUCCCUCCAUCCCCCCUCCCGUCAUUUGUUUCAUUGUGCGUGCACUCUGCAUCUAUCCUUCUCGUUCUAAUAUCGAUUAAAAUGCCCCUGCUUCUUGACUCACAUUUGCGUAUAAACCAUUGGACCCUAGUUCUAGUCGCGCGUAACGUCGAACGACCCGUCUCAAAAAAAAAUUAAUACGACACGAGGACUUCCCAAGAGGUCACCCAUCCAAGUACUACUCUCGCCCAAGCACACUUAACUGCGGAGUUCUAAUGGGAUCCGAUGCAUUAGUGCUGGUAUGAUAGCAACUGUUUAAUUUCGCGCUGCAAAUACAUAAACUCCUUCACCUUUAUUCCCCCUCUCGUCAUUUGUUUCCUUGUGCGUGCGCACUGCACCUCUCGUUGUCAUUCAAAUAUCAUGUAAAAUGCCACGGCGCCGUGACUCACAUUUGCGAAUAAAUCUGCGGACCAUAAUUAAAGUCGCGCGUAACGUCGAACUGCACAUCUGAAAAAAAGAAAAUGGGUGCAACACGAGAACUUCCCAGGAGGUAACCCAUCAUUGUACUACUUUCGCCAAAGCACACUUAACUACGGAGUUCUGAGGGGAUCCGGUGCAUUUGUGCUGGUGUGACCGCACUUGUUUAAUUUCGUGCUGAAAAUACAUACACUCCUUCUUCCCUCCCGCCUCCAAUCAUUUGUUUCCUUGUGCGUUCACACUGCACCUCUCCUUCUCGUUCUAAUAUCAAUUAAAAUGUCCCUGAUUCUUGACUCACAUUUGCGUAUAAACCAGCGGACCAUAGUUCCAGUCGCGCGUAACGUCGAACGACCCAUCUGAAAAAAAAUUGUUGCGAUACGAGGACUUCCCAAGAGCUCACCCAUCCGAGUACUACUCUCGCCCAAGCACGCUUAACUGCAGAGUUCUGAUGGGAUCCAGUGCAUUAGUGCUGGUAUGAUGCCACUUGUUUAAUUUUGCGCUUCAAAUACAUACACUCCUUCUCUUUUCUUCCUCCUCCCGUCAUUUGUUUCCUUGUGCGUGCGCACUACACCUCCCGUACUCAUUCUAAUAUCAAGUAAAAUGCCACGGCGCCGUGACUCACAUUUGCGAAUAAACCUGUGGACCAUAAAUCAAGUCGCGCGUAACGUCGAAAGAAUCAUCUGCAAAAAGAUGGGUGCAAGACGAGGACCUCCCAAGAAAAUGGGUGAAAUAUAAGGACUUCGCAGGAGGUCACCCAUCCGAGUACUUUUCUCGCCCAAUCACCCUUAACUGCGGAGUUCUGAUAGAAUCCGUUGCAUUAGUGCUGGUAUGAUCUCUCAUGUUUCAUUAUGCACUGCAAAUACAUACACUAUUUCUCCUCCCAUCCCCCCUCCCGUCAUUUGUUUCCUUGUGCGUGCACUCUACAUCUCUCUUUCUCGUUCUAAUAUCAAGUAA
This 2098-nucleotide long non-coding RNA is filed under the name Carica papaya (papaya). RNAcentral's name for it is "long non-coding RNA (CPAP_LNC015658)". Lineage: Eukaryota; Viridiplantae; Streptophyta; Magnoliopsida; Brassicales; Caricaceae. The record is from RNAcentral.